GUGGUUUUCUAGAUGUUUCUUGUUAAAGACUGUACGUGUUGAGGACUAUACAUGCCCUCUAGAUGUUUUUGUUGAAGACUGUAUGUUGCCCAUUACGUGUUUUUGUUGGACUAUAUGCUGCUCUUUAUAUGUCUUAUGUUCACCUCUAGACGUCUAUUGAUGAAAACUAUAAGUGACCCUAUAGAUGUCUAUUGUUGAAGAUUAUAAGUGUUCCGAUAGAUGUAUGUUGCCCUUUAUAUGUCUUUUGUUUAUUUUAUCCUUUGGUUUAACGUUUCAUAGAUGUUUACCAAACAACUUCAUUAAUUCAUUGUAUGAAGUGAGAAAAAGCCUAUGAAGGUCGAUGAACCAUCUCUCAAUGUCAAACACGCAGCCUCCUUUGAUUUUGUCGGAUUCAGAUUCUUUUGUAAAAGAAGGUGACCCUGAG
RNAcentral lists this long non-coding RNA (424 nucleotides) under Mytilus galloprovincialis (Mediterranean mussel). Lineage: Eukaryota; Metazoa; Mollusca; Bivalvia; Mytilida; Mytilidae. The record is from RNAcentral.